AAUUAAUCAAAGAAUUUAAUGGAUCCAUUUUGUACAGUUCGGUAACAAAUAAUAGUUUAUAUAUAUAUAUUCCUUAAAAACCCGCACUCUCACAGCAAAUCGUGGGCGAACAGAGCGCUGCAGCACACGGCACUGGUGACACGAGAAAAUCCGCACAGCCAAAACCUGCAUGAAACCACUUUGGUCCGCCGGGGAGGGGAGGGGAAGAAGGCAAGGGGAUGCAAAUCAGCGGGCUUGUAAACGGGCCGGAGCAGGGCGGGCGCGGCGGGGGCGGUGUGUGGCCCGGAGCGGGGAGGCGGCGGCACCCCGGCCGAGGCGGGAGCGGCCCUCCCGAGGCCGAGGCGCCGGCGGCGCAGGCUGGGGCCCGCAGGCUGGGGCCCGCCGCCGGCCCACCCGCGCACUCCUCUGCCGCCGCCGAGCGCCUGGCUCGGCCUCGCCCGCUCGGCCUCCCCCGUGCCCCGGAGCGGCGCUCCCCGGCCCCGGCCGGGCGAGGGCCGCCCGCCGGCGCGCCCUAGCAGCGGGGCCGGGGCUCGCCGGGGGGGCGCGGCGGCGGCGGCGGCGGCGGCGGGGGGGCGGCGAGGGGCGCGGGGGGGCCGCGGAGCCCCGCGCCCUGACACACGUACCAUUCGCUCAGUUGUAGGGCUUGUCGCUGGUGUGGACGUGCGAGUGCUUCUUCCUGUCGCUGCUGUUGGCGAAGCGUCUGUCACAGCCCUCGAAUUCACAUUUGAACGGCUUCUCCCCUGCAGGAGGCAACGGGCGAGCACAGCCAUUAGCGACGGCGGCCGCGGGGCAGGAGCCGCGCAGCCCGGCACCCCCCCCCCCCCUCCCCCCCGCCCCUCAAGCCCGCACCGUCCCCGGGCCCCUCUCUCCGGCCCCGGCACGGCUCCUCUCCCCGGCGCAGCUCCCCGCCGGCCGCCGGCCGCCCCCCCCGCCCGCCCCCCGCCCUGCCCUUCGCCGCCCGCCCCGCCGAGCUCCCCCGGCGCCGCCGCCCCGUGCCCACCCGGCUGCGCAGCCGGCUCCGCAGCGGGAGCGCCCUGCCCGGCCAGCUUCUCCUCCCCCUUCCCCUGCCCUGUGUGUCGACGUGGGGGUUUGUGCAAAAGACAAAGCCCCGAGAUAAGGAAAACUUGGAGGCCAAGUGCUCGUUCCGAGCAAAGAACGUGUGCCGUCCCCGCAGACGCGGAUGUCCUGCAGAAAGAGUGGUCAGUGAUUUAUCCCUGGGACGGUCUUUACGUUAAAUACAUUCCUCACACUCCCCCAGGUGCACGUGGAAAUGUUAUUCAUAGCCCGGCUAGAUCACAUCUCUUCCACGCCGUUCGUGCACCGGUUACAAUCCCGUGGCAGAUCCGCAUCCCCCCUCCUUUCCCCGCUCCCCGGCGUGCUGGUACCGUGCGUUAAGGCACAACAUCUUUUCCAAAAGACGCUGAUUGUGGGGGGCAAAAGGAUAGAGCUUCAGCAGGAGGAUGACUAGGCCGGUGCACGGCACUGUCGCGAGGGUAGGAUUCCCUUUUCAUUUGAACCUACUCAGUCAUGGAAGGAAUUGCAAUCGGGAUUAAUUUGUCUCGUAAUAUGAUAAGUGACGUUAAGCAUAAUAGCAAUACAAUCGUGUUGCUGGAGUCGUGUGAAAGUUUAACCUCGGAUCGUGUGGACCGGGCAUGGUACACGAUACAGAGGACGUUUUCAAGGAAACAUGCCACAGUCAGCUUCGGGAUGAAAUGAUGACUACGUUAUUGUCGCUGAUAAUAGCGAACCGCAAAACCCUGCUCGCCAAGCAGCACCCGGGUCCUGCACCCACCGAGUGUGAAAAUAACCUCCUCACCCGUCAAAAGCCAAAAAGUAUCUGGGCGCAGAGGACACCACAAAAAUACACGGCCGAACCUUAAACGUGAAGUGCAAACAAAGCCACUGUGUUCACCAUCAUGGCGUAUGUGGUCGAAAGGACUUGCAAUAUUUGUAAAAGCUUCCAGGGGUUUUGGGGGGUUUCUUUUGGUUGGGGUUGUUGUUCCCCGUCCCGUCCCGUCCCCCCCCCCCCGCCCCCGAAUAUGUUGGGGCUUUUUUUUCCCCUCUCAGUUCGUCACGAUUAAAUUUCGGAGGGACGCAGCCCACCUCGUGCUCGGCUGCGAGCAGAGGCACAUAAAGGAAGGCAUUCCAAAUAUUUCACAUGAAUGCACUUUAUGCAAGGAGGGUGGGAAAAAGCUCAUGGCUCCGCGUUUAAAGUAUGUCCCUUCCGCACUGUAAGAAUCAAUGAGGAGCUCGCACAUCCUGCGCCGCUCACAUUUGUACAGAGGAUGGGUAAAUACCUGGCGUUAGAGAGAAGGGGGGAAGAGGUUAAACAUAAGGUCUCUCUGAAAACAACGCGGGCCCUGUAACCAAAUACCGUCGACAUACAGCGGUGCAUAUGCACAGACACACGCACGCAUAUAAUCUAAUUACAGUUUCACGUAAGGAAACAAUUUGACCUUCAGCGUCCAAGUUGAGACAACAAAUCAAGGAUAUUAGUGUAGUACAAGCAAGCAGUAAGUUAGGAGACCCCAGGGAAAGCCAUCCUCAUAAGCACUCUGCUUGUGCAAAGUGAGUUCCAUUCAGGUAAAAGCGGGCUGCGGCGCAUUCCGCGUCCCCGAGAGUUGAAAAAUGUUCAACUUCGCUUAACCCCCCGAAAGAGCCGCUGAAAAGUCCCUCCGUACAGUCGGGUUGCAAGUGGGAAGAGGGCAGCAUUUUCUCAGCUGCCCGGUCUGCAUUCUCUGAACGCCUCAAUAAAGAGGAGCCAUCCGAGCCAUUUGCAAGUAUUCCUUUCGCGAGAGCAGGUUUUCUUACGUGGAAAUCCCUACCCGGCAGGGAGAGGACAUUUUACAGGUCCCGGCUGCCGCAGCCGGGGCACGGAGGUGCAGCCACGCAGAAAGUUCCCCGGGCGAUGGAGGAGCGCAGGACCCGAACCGCCAUUUUACCCCCACACUUGUAGCUGGGCAAAAGUGUUCAGUGAAAUUCGGCUUGGAAAUUGUGGCAUAAUCCCCCGUCUCCGGGAGUGGAUUAAGGUAUUUACAAACUUCUCCGGGUGGGUGGAGGGAGGACGGGGGGGCCGGGGGGGGAGCCGGAGGUGGCGGCCCCCGGGCUGCGGGCGAGGCGCGGGGGCGGCGGGGGCCGCCCGGGAGGGAGAGGGGCUCCGUCCCACGCCUCGCACCAUUGUUCCUGGCCCGCUGGGAAGGCGGCGAAGCGAUCCCUGCCCGUCCCGCUCGUCCCGCUGCCGCCGCCGCCGCCUUCACGGCCUUAUCCUCCAACCUGGAAAAUUCGCACAUCGCCAGAAAUGCCUCUGCCUGCUCCCCAGCCUCGGAGAAAUCAGAAGUCAUUAAUAUUUGAGGAGGCAAUAAUUUUCCUGUUGAAUCUAGAACUGUCUUCAUGAAUAAUUCGUGGCGAGUUCUAUUAGGGUUUCAGAAACAUUGCGUUUUUGACAACUUCUGAGUGUUUAAUAGAAACGGUGGAACCAUAAAGGCCCUGCAGGAGUUUUCACAAUACAGCAAUUAAUCACCGGGAAAGUUAAAGCGAAAAGUACAGGCGCGCAGAAUGAUGUUUAAUAAACGCAACCCUCCGAUCUCGGGUUUGCCCUGAACCUGCCUCUCCGAUGUAGGUCAGUUUUCCCAAGAAUUUAACCAUUUUCUGCUUCAGAGACUUCAAACAGUGAGGCCGUUAAAGAGCAGUAAAAGUUUGUUUACUUAAGAAAAACACUGUCAUUAAGGGAUGAGCUCUCCCGGUUAAUGGCUGUACCUGUGCUGAUCUGCCAAGGAACUGGCUCGGAGACAAGUUAUGUGACCCGGGGAUACUCCUUUCUCCUCGAAAAAGGGGGCCGAGAAGGCAGCGGAGGAACACAACUUUGCUAUCGCCCCCCCUCCCCUGCACACAGACGAGCUAUUCAUAGAGCGAUGGAAAAAUAAUUAGGUGACGAGUGACGGUCGCUGUAAAAUCUCUGUGCUAUGUUUAGACGAUAGCGAUACGAAAUUAGUAUAUGUUCUGCAUAUUAUAUCACGUCGAGUUGUAGCAUAAAAAUGCAACUCCUGGAAGGUCGAGCCCUGCACCGAGCAUGGGGGAAGGGGAGUUUUAUGAACUGGAAGGCGAAAAAAAUCGUUUGGCUGUAAGCAGAUCUUACAAUAGGAUUAUGUAGUUUCCCUCGCAGUACAGAAGGCUGUACAGAAGGGAAUGGGAGGUGGAAAACCCUACACUGGAACAGAUUAAAUUUUCCAAAAGGGGCUUAUUUCUUAUCUUCUUCUUCUUCAGAGGGGAAAAAAAAAAAAAAAAAAAAAAAAAAAAAAAAAGCUCCAGCGCUACAGACUACAAACACCGGCUGCUAAACUAAUUAAUACAACUUCACAAGCUGCUCCUGGAAGUGUGAAAACUUUCUACGUGCAAUUUCAUUAAUUAUAAAUGCUUUCCUGGCCGGAAGAGUUCAAACGUAGUUUUGCAAGAUAGUCCACGGAGUUACUUUAUUUUCUGGUAACUAGAACUAACAGAUGUUUCUGACACAUGUCCCAAUUUCGCUUAACAGAUCUGCAAAUGACAUUUCAAAAUGUACAGGCCGAAACAAUACCGGGUUUUCUUCUCUCUCCUUUUUUUUUUUUCCCCUCCCGAGAAUCAGAACUUGCAGCUCCCCAUAUUUGCGAACGCAGAGAGUCGUUGGAAGGCAAUGCUCAUUAAAAAUGUCAGUGUUAUUCAGAUCAAACAUUUGAAACUCCCUCUGCCCAAAACAAAACUGUUGAACGAAAAGGUCGCAGCUGUGUUAUUCUCACAAUGUUCGAGCAGCAGCAUCUCAGCGACAUCAGUCAAAACUGACUAGACAAGUUGUAACUUCUAUUGUUCACUUUUAAUUUGUGAGCUUGCACAAUGAUUUCAUUUUUUCCCCCCAACUACUUUAAAUUGAAAAAAAAAAUCCUCGCCUGUG
Molecule: long non-coding RNA, 4924 nt
Organism: Accipiter nisus (Eurasian sparrowhawk)
Lineage: Eukaryota; Metazoa; Chordata; Aves; Accipitriformes; Accipitridae
Source: Ensembl